This 200-nucleotide ribosomal RNA is filed under the name uncultured bacterium. RNAcentral describes it as "partial 16S ribosomal RNA". It matches the Rfam family "Bacterial small subunit ribosomal RNA", at positions 8 to 230 of the family's 1533-position model. The record is from RNAcentral.
AGAGUUUGAUCCUGGCUCAGGACGAACGCUGGCGGCGUGCCUAAUACAUGCAAGUCGAACGCGCCUAGCGAUAGGCGAGUGGCGGACGGGUGAGUAACGCGUGGGAACCUGCCCUUGAGUGCGGGACAACCGAGGGAAACUUCGGCUAAUACCGCAUGCGCCCCCGAGAGGGGGGAAAGAUUUAUCGCUCGAGGAGGGGC